AACGUAGGAGCCAAGCGUUAUCCGAAUUCACUGGGCGUAAAGCGCGUGCAGGCGGCCUGAUAAGUUGGAUGUGAAAUCUCCUGGCUCAACUGGGAGAGGCCGUUCAAUACUGUUGGGCUCGAGGGCGACAGAGGGAGGUGGAAUUCCGGGUGUAGUGGUGAAAUGCGUAGAUAUCCGGAGGAACACCAGAGGCGAAGGCGACCUCCUGGGUCGUACCUGACGCUCAGACGCGAAAGCUAGGGGAGCGAACGGG
This 253-nucleotide ribosomal RNA is filed under the name uncultured bacterium. RNAcentral's name for it is "partial 16S ribosomal RNA". It matches the Rfam family "Bacterial small subunit ribosomal RNA", at positions 524 to 776 of the family's 1533-position model. The record is from RNAcentral.